UCCCAGCCUGCUUCUUCCAGAUGUGGUUGGCCAUUACUGAGAGAUUUAAGGUAUCGUUUGUUUAGAACCCCGUGACUUGGGUCUGGUUUUCUCCUGGCAUCCUAGAGGCUUCACAGCUCAGAGCAGGAGGAACAUACAUCUAGUUCAGCUUGCUUACUUUACAGAUGAGGAAACUAAGGUCUCAAAACAUUAAGUAACCCAAGGAUCAGAACACGGUUUCCCUGACUCUCAGUCCGUGAACAAUAACUAGCAGAAACAUUGUAUUAACAAAGUUCAAGAUGAGGUAGAUAGACCAGAGGUGGAGGACACAGGAACAGAUCAAAGAACCGUUCGUCUUACUGGUAGGAAUCACUGUAUAGGGGGCAGCACCAUACCGCUGUAACUAGCAGGCUAGUGUGGGAUCUGGGAAGGGUAAUCCCAGUCUCUCCUUUCCUGCUUCAGACUUGAGCUCUGGAAUCCAUGGUGGAAAAUGAAUUUGCUUCCCAGGGAGGUGGUGGUAAGUGAAAGUGUAAAGUCAGUUUCUGGUAAUGCAGCGGAGAUGAAGACAGUUAAAAAACAAACUUAAAUGAAAUCACAGUGGAUCAAAAGUGAUCACACAUUACAUAUAAAUGCCCAAAUACAUGUGUCCAUACACAUAACCCUUUUCCCUUUAAUGAACUUGGUAUUGAGCAAUUUCUGUAAAGCCCAAAUGCAAACAGCUUAGGUUUCCAGAGAGAAGUCUCAAAGCAGAGGGGCCCACUGGCUAUUUAGAGAGCUAACUUUAUGAAACAGAAUUUUAAGGAACUCUACCAAGAACCUUAAGAUUGCAUUAUUACUGUGAAUUGAUUAAUGGAAUGGGUGACCAUGUAGUGUGAGACCUGCUAUUUCCUUCUGAUUCUAUGUCUGACUCUAUCAACAGGAAUUUGGGAAAGUCAUCCUGUAUUGGAAAGCAUGCAACAACAUCAAUAUCACUAGAAUAGUUACUUGGCCAGAAAAUCUGGAAACCUAUUUAAAAAUCAGAAAACAUUCAUCUAAUUAUUUUGCUUAAUUUUAAAUGUAAUUUUUCCAGUUGAUUCCUGGCCUCAGUCCAAAACCUUAGUAAUCCUAUUUAAUACUCCUCUAACUAUGAGAAACAUUCAUGAGUUCCUUGUAGCACAUUUGAUAGUAUUAGAGGCCCCCAAAAAAUGACCUCCUUUUUUAUCCAGGGUCUUUCCCUCUAACUUUGUAAUCCCCUCCUAUUCUGGGCUCAACUGUAUGAUUUACUUUGAGCAACAAGACAACAGCAGACUUGAUGUAAAUGAAUGCUGGAAAAAUGUUUACGCAUUUCUGUUUCCAGUCUUGGAAUUCUGACAUCACCAGAAUAAGCCUGCUGGAAGAUGAAAGACCCCGUAGAGCAAAGCUGAGUCAUAACAGCUGAGCAUCCUUGACCAGUCAGCCCUCAUUUGACUGCAGAGGCACAAGCAAGUCCAAAUGAGGUUGCCUAGGCUUGGUCCAGAUCACCAGAACCACCCACCCAACUCAUAGAUUCACGAGAAACAAUACAUGGUUGCUGGUUUAAGCCACUGUUUCAGUUAUUGAUUGCUGCUUAACAAAUGAUCCCAAAACUUAGUUACCAAAAUCACCAAUCAUUUACUAUUUUUCCUUAUUCAGUGGGUCAACUAAGCCUAGCUGAGCAUUGCCUAAGGUUACACAUGGUUUUUUGUUUGUUUGUGUUGUUUUUGUUGUUGUUUGCCUGCUUGCUUGCUUUUGAGAGAGGGUCUUGCUCUGUCACACCAGCUGGAACAGGUUGUAGUGCAAUGGCAUGAUUACAGUUUACUGCAGCCUUGAUCUCCUAGACUCAAGUGAUCCUCCCACCUCAGCCUCCCAAAUAGCUGGGACCACAGGCAUGCACCACCAUGCCUGGAUAAUUUUUUUGUGUGUGUGGAGAUAAGGUCUCACUCUGUUUCCAGGGGUGGUCUCAAACGCCUAGGCUCAAGCAACCCUCCCACCUCAACUCCCAAAGUGCCGGGAUUAUAGGUAUCAGCUGCUGUGCCUGGCCUGGGUCACUCAUUUGACUGCAUUCAGCUGGCCACUGGCAGCUGGGCUGAGUUGGAAGGUUUGAAAAGGCCUCAUUAACGUAUCAGACACCUCAAUUCUCCUCCAGAUGAUCUAUGUCCAUGUACCCAGCUUGGGCUUCCUCCCAGCAAGGUGGUUACACUUCCUCUAUGGCAUCUCACUUUCAAGAGGGAGGAAUAGAAACUGCCAAUUCUCUUAUGAGUUGAGUCUAGAAGUUCUAGAAUGUUAUUUCUGCUUCAUUCUAUUGGCCAGAGCAAGUCACAAGACCAAACAGAUUCAAGAGGAGGGGAAAGAGACUCUGCCUUCUGACUUGAGAGGACUGGAAAGAGCAUUGAAUUAGGAGCCAUAAGACCUGGUUUGCUACUCCAGCUCUGUCCUCACAACAGUGAAAUCUACAUUCUUUCUUGGCUUCGAAUUCCUUAGUGAAGCAAGCAGAGAACAUCAGACUGCAGCAAAGGACUAGGCAAUGACCUCUUAAAAAUCUGCUGUCUCCUUGGUUUGUGUUUUCCAUAGGUUGGGAACAGUACAUGUUGCAUGUUUGUGUAUAUUUUUUUCUUAAUUUUGGAGUAAUGAAUGUACGAAAGAAGCCCUUCUUUGUGACCAUUCUGCAUGCCAAGAGAUAUGAUGGCAUUUCCUCUAGAGACUUUCAGAAGAAAAGAUUAAAUAAAAGAUUUAUAAUAUGCAAGAGUUUGUCUAUGAUAUCCUGAUAAGAAUAAAAGGCAUAAUUUGAA
This is a long non-coding RNA of Callithrix jacchus (white-tufted-ear marmoset), 2765 nucleotides long. RefSeq lists it as uncharacterized. Lineage: Eukaryota; Metazoa; Chordata; Mammalia; Primates; Cebidae. The record is from RefSeq and is a predicted model, not a curated record.